UUGCAUGAUGAGAGAAUCUUAAUUAGCUCUAGAUCAGAAGCCACAACUUUUUGUGGCGGUGAUUGAUUCAUUUGCAUGUAUUAUCUGACCC
Molecule: small nucleolar RNA, 91 nt
Rfam family: A. fimigatus snoRNA Afu_199